GUAGUCGUGGCCGAGCGGUUAAGGCGACAGAAUAGAGAUCUGUUGGGGUUUCCCACGCAGGUUCGAAUCCUGCCAACUACG
This 81-nucleotide transfer RNA is filed under the name Patiria miniata (bat star). Its description in RNAcentral is "tRNA-Ser". It matches the Rfam family "tRNA". From Rfam's summary of the family: Transfer RNA (tRNA) molecules are approximately 80 nucleotides in length. Their secondary structure includes four short double-helical elements and three loops (D, anti-codon, and T loops). The record is from Rfam by way of RNAcentral. Lineage: Eukaryota; Metazoa; Echinodermata; Asteroidea; Valvatida; Asterinidae.